This is a long non-coding RNA of Odocoileus virginianus texanus, 674 nucleotides long. RefSeq lists it as uncharacterized. The record is from RefSeq and is a predicted model, not a curated record. Lineage: Eukaryota; Metazoa; Chordata; Mammalia; Artiodactyla; Cervidae.
CUGGCUCCCUCCUGAUGUGUGAACUGUGAAGUGUAGUACGGAGCGCGAUUGUGGUAUCUUAAUAUCCUUCCUUCUCUUCCCGCUUUACUCUCCUCCCGAUUUUACUCUGGCUUCCCCCAGUGGCAUGCUACAAGAAGGACAGGGGACCCAAUGGCCAAAAGCGGGGAGAGGCGCGAAGGGUCGGUGGGCGCAGCGCGCCCUCUUCGCUGCGCACUUUUUAAGGCUUUCCGCGCUGUUUAAACACCGACAACAAAGGACUGGCCGCUCCCCUGCUAGGUGCCUUGAUCGCCGCGCACCGGAUGGAAGCAAAUAGCCGACCUCUGGUCUACAGAUAGGCAUUCUUCCCUUCCUUUCGGUUAUGAACAUCUUUUGAAACCUAGCAUAAACUGAAAACCCACGACCUAGUAAAUAAAAAAAUGUCGAAAUCAGCUGUAGCUUCAUCAAGAAUUUUACUUUGUUGCUUCUCAAGAUGUGAAGACUGAAAUUCCUGCAGCUUUCCUGGACCAUGGAGUACCAUCCUCAAGAGAGAACGUGUUAGAAACAGCAAGCCAAUCAGCUGAAGAGAAGCCUGGGACUGGGCCUGGGACGGACACAGAAGUCCUUGUACUGAAGUUAACUGUCCGUGCUGCUACAUAGUCUUGUUAAAGACUGAGGAAUCCAGACUCUGGGAGAUG